GGGUUGUGAGGUUAAGCGACUAAGCGUACACGGUGGAUGCCCUGGCAGUCAGAGGCGAUGAAGGGCGUGCUAAUCUGCGAUAAGCGCCGGUAAGGUGAUAUGAACCGUUAUAACCGGCGAUACCCGAAUGGGGAAACCCAGUGUGAUUCGUCACACUAUCAUUAACUGAAUCCAUAGGUUAAUGAGGCGAACCGGGGGAACUGAAACAUCUAAGUACCCCGAGGAAAAGAAAUCAACCGAGAUUCCCCCAGUAGCGGCGAGCGAACGGGGAGGAGCCCAGAGCCUGAAUCAGCAUGUGUGUUAGUGGAAGCGUCUGGAAAGGCGCGCGAUACAGGGUGACAGCCCCGUACACAAAAGCGCAUGUGCUGUGAGCUCGAUGAGUAGGGCGGGACACGUGGUAUCCUGUCUGAAUAUGGGGGGACCAUCCUCCAAGGCUAAAUACUCCUGACUGACCGAUAGUGAACCAGUACCGUGAGGGAAAGGCGAAAAGAACCCCGGCGAGGGGAGUGAAAAAGAACCUGAAACCGUGUACGUACAAGCAGUGGGAGCCCCACCACUAAGCCAGUGGUGAACUCCACAUCCGCAUCCUUUGCUGAGGAUACGGUUAACGGAGCGAAAGCGACGUUCAACCGCAAAACAAGCAGAGGGGGCUUAGUGGUGGGGUGACUGCGUACCUUUUGUAUAAUGGGUCAGCGACUUAUAUUCUGUAGCAAGGUUAACCGAAUAGGGGAGCCGGAGGGAAACCGAGUCUUAAUUGGGCGUUAAGUUGCAGGGUAUAGACCCGAAACCCGGUGAUCUAGCCAUGGGCAGGUUGAAGGUUGGGUAACACUAACUGGAGGACCGAACCGACUAAUGUUGAAAAAUUAGCGGAUGACCUGUGGCUGGGGGUGAAAGGCCAAUCAAACCGGGAGAUAGCUGGUUCUCCCCGAAAGCUAUUUAGGUAGCGCCUCGUGAAUUCAUCUCCGGGGGUAGAGCACUGUUUCGGCUAGGGGGCCAUCCCGGCUUACCAACCCGAUGCAAACUGCGAAUACCGGAGAAUGUUAUCACGGGAGACACACGGCGGGUGCUAACGUCCGUCGUGAAGAGGGAAACAACCCAGACCGCCAGCUAAGGUCCCAAAGUCAUGGUUAAGUGGGAAACGAUGUGGGAAGGCCCAGACAGCCAGGAUGUUGGCUUAGAAGCAGCCAUCAUUUAAAGAAAGCGUAAUAGCUCACUGGUCGAGUCGGCCUGCGCGGAAGAUGUAACGGGGCUAAACCAUGCACCGAAGCUGCGGCAGCGAACGUAUCACUUAAAGCGAUUCAGCGGGUUACGAUUGACGGAGCGAAGCGACGUCAAAGCGUAUACAAAGUCGAGUCGGUUUAAGGAUACGUUCGUUGGGUAGGGGAGCGUUCUGUAAGCCCGUGAAGGUGGCCUGUGAGGGUUGCUGGAGGUAUCAGAAGUGCGAAUGCUGACAUAAGUAACGAUAAAGCGGGUGAAAAGCCCGCUCGCCGGAAGACCAAGGGUUCCUGUCCAACGUUAAUCGGGGCAGGGUGAGUCGACCCCUAAGGCGAGGCCGAAAGGCGUAGUCGAUGGGAAACGGGUUAAUAUUCCCGUACUUGGUGUUACUGCGAAGGGGGGACGGAGAAGGCUAUGUUGGCCGGGCGACGGUUGUCCCGGUUUAAGCGUGUAGGUGUGUGUUCCAGGUAAAUCCGGUUCACUUUAACACUGAGGCGUGACGACGAGGCACUACGGUGCUGAAGCAACAAAUGCCCUGCUUCCAGGAAAAGCCUCUAAGCAUCAGGUAACAUCAAAUCGUACCCCAAACCGACACAGGUGGUCAGGUAGAGAAUACCAAGGCGCUUGAGAGAACUCGGGUGAAGGAACUAGGCAAAAUGGUGCCGUAACUUCGGGAGAAGGCACGCUGACACGUAGGUGAAGUGAUUUACUCAUGGAGCUGAAGUCAGUCGAAGAUACCAGCUGGCUGCAACUGUUUAUUAAAAACACAGCACUGUGCAAACACGAAAGUGGACGUAUACGGUGUGACGCCUGCCCGGUGCCGGAAGGUUAAUUGAUGGGGUCAGCGCAAGCGAAGCUCCUGAUCGAAGCCCCGGUAAACGGCGGCCGUAACUAUAACGGUCCUAAGGUAGCGAAAUUCCUUGUCGGGUAAGUUCCGACCUGCACGAAUGGCGUAAUGAUGGCCAGGCUGUCUCCACCCGAGACUCAGUGAAAUUGAACUCGCUGUGAAGAUGCAGUGUACCCGCGGCAAGACGGAAAGACCCCGUGAACCUUUACUAUAGCUUGACACUGAACAUUGAGCCUUGAUGUGUAGGAUAGGUGGGAGGCUUUGAAGUGUGGACGCCAGUCUGCAUGGAGCCGACCUUGAAAUACCACCCUUUAAUGUUUGAUGUUCUAACGUGGACCCGUAAUCCGGGUUGCGGACAGUGUCUGGUGGGUAGUUUGACUGGGGCGGUCUCCUCCUAAAGAGUAACGGAGGAGCACGAAGGUUGGCUAAUCCUGGUCGGACAUCAGGAGGUUAGUGCAAUGGCAUAAGCCAGCUUGACUGCGAGCGUGACGGCGCGAGCAGGUGCGAAAGCAGGUCAUAGUGAUCCGGUGGUUCUGAAUGGAAGGGCCAUCGCUCAACGGAUAAAAGGUACUCCGGGGAUAACAGGCUGAUACCGCCCAAGAGUUCAUAUCGACGGCGGUGUUUGGCACCUCGAUGUCGGCUCAUCACAUCCUGGGGCUGAAGUAGGUCCCAAGGGUAUGGCUGUUCGCCAUUUAAAGUGGUACGCGAGCUGGGUUUAGAACGUCGUGAGACAGUUCGGUCCCUAUCUGCCGUGGGCGCUGGAGAACUGAGGGGGGCUGCUCCUAGUACGAGAGGACCGGAGUGGACGCAUCACUGGUGUUCGGGUUGUCAUGCCAAUGGCACUGCCCGGUAGCUAAAUGCGGAAGAGAUAAGUGCUGAAAGCAUCUAAGCACGAAACUUGCCCCGAGAUGAGUUCUCCCUGAGACUUAGAGUCUCCUGAAGGAACGUUGAAGACGACGACGUUGAUAGGCCGGGUGUGUAAGCGCAGCGAUGCGUUGAGCUAACCGGUACUAAUGAACCGUGAGGCUUAACCUUACAACGCCGAAG
RNAcentral lists this ribosomal RNA (3109 nucleotides) under Salmonella enterica subsp. enterica serovar Typhimurium. RNAcentral's name for it is "23S ribosomal RNA". It matches the Rfam family "Bacterial large subunit ribosomal RNA". Lineage: Bacteria; Pseudomonadati; Pseudomonadota; Gammaproteobacteria; Enterobacterales; Enterobacteriaceae. The record is from RNAcentral. RNAcentral also lists the same sequence under 1 other name.